Molecule: long non-coding RNA, 762 nt
Filed under: Triticum aestivum (bread wheat)
Lineage: Eukaryota; Viridiplantae; Streptophyta; Magnoliopsida; Poales; Poaceae
Description: long non-coding RNA (TAES_LNC004303)
Source: RNAcentral
CCAGGUACAGUGACGUGGAUAAGUGGAGGCGUAAUCCACUGAUUACGUCUUCGCUUUCCGAAAGCGUAUUUCCCAUUUUACGCUUCUGUCUUAUCCACUCACGGACUUAUUUGUGAUGAAAUUUUUGCAGAAAAGUCCCUGAACUUCAACCCCUCAUAUCUUUUUAUCCGUAACUCCGAAUGAGGUCAAACCAACGGCCACUUCUUCGUUUCAUCGAGCCCUUUCUGUUGGUGUCACUUUCAUUAUGUUUUGGCAUACUGAAAAUGACCAUUUUGCCCCUGCCCUUAAUCAGCCCCCUCCAAGAGAGACAUGUUUUCCGGCGAUUCGUUCCGCGGCUUCACCGCACUUCUUCUCGGUGCCUUCUUCAUCCCCAGGAAAGCCACAAUACCCACUUACAUGAUAGUCAUGCAGUAGCCAUGGUUUUCAACUUGAAUCUUUAUUAAUGUUUGCUUGUUGAAAAAAAUGGUUAUCGUUGUUCCGGUGAUGCUCAAAUUUGCAUGUUCGCUUUUGUGCUAUGUCGUCUUAUACUCUGUGAUCAUGUUAUACCUCCUAGUAUUACCUUUCAUAUGUUUAUGCUUGGUAGUAGUACAUGUUGAUGUUGGAGAUGGUCAUGCUAGUCAGUAUGCGAUGCUUAGUGGACAUGAGUUAUUGUUGGUACGGUGGAAAGUUAUGUCAUACUCUCAUGAUGAUGUUGAUAUCAUGUUCAUGUAUUAUAGUUGGCAUCAUGUUAUUUCAUCAUGGCUCAGCAUAUUUGCAUUCAAG